AUUAGACGAAUCAUCUGGAAAGAUGAAUCAAAGAAGGUAAUAAUCCUGUAGUCGAAAAUGUUGUCUCUCUUGAGUGGAUCCUGAGUACGACGGAGCACGUGAAAUUCCGUCGGAAUCUGGGAGGACCAUCUCCUAAGGCUAAAUACUCUCUAGUGACCGAUAGUGAACCAGUACCGUGAGGGAAAGGUGAAAAGCACCCCGGAAGGGGAGUGAAAUAGAACCUGAAACCGUGUGCUUACAAGUAGUCAGAGCCCGUUAAUGGGUGAUGGCGUGCCUUUUGUAGAAUGAACCGGCGAGUUACGAUUUGAUGCAAGGUUAAGCAGUAAAUGUGGAGCCGUAGCGAAAGCGAGUCUGAAUAGGGCGUUUAGUAUUUGGUCGUAGACCCGAAACCAGGUGAUCUACCCUUGGUCAGGUUGAAGUUCAGGUAACACUGAAUGGAGGACCGAACCGACUUACGUUGAAAAGUGAGCGGAUGAACUGAGGGUAGCGGAGAAAUUCCAAUCGAACCUGGAGAUAGCUGGUUCUCUCCGAAAUAGCUUUAGGGCUAGCCUCAAGUGAUGAUUAUUGGAGGUAGAGCACUGUUUGGACGAGGGGCCCCUCUCGGGUUACCGAAUUCAGACAAACUCCGAAUGCCAAUUAAUUUAACUUGGGAGUCAGAACAUGGGUGAUAAGGUCCGUGUUCGAAAGGGAAACAGCCCAGACCACCAGCUAAGGUCCCAAAAUAUAUGUUAAGUGGAAAAGGAUGUGGCGUUGCCCAGACAACUAGGAUGUUGGCUUAGAAGCAGCCAUCAUUUAAAGAGUGCGUAAUAGCUCACUAGUCGAGUGACACUGCGCCGAAAAUGUACCGGGGCUAAACAUAUUACCGAAGCUGUGGAUUGUCCUUUGGACAAUGGUAGGAGAGCGUUCUAAGGGCGUUGAAGCAUGAUCGUAAGGACAUGUGGAGCGCUUAGAAGUGAGAAUGCCGGUGUGAGUAGCGAAAGACGGGUGAGAAUCCCGUCCACCGAUUGACUAAGGUUUCCAGAGGAAGGCUCGUCCGCUCUGGGUUAGUCGGGUCCUAAGCUGAGGCCGACAGGCGUAGGCGAUGGAUAACAGGUUGAUAUUCCUGUACCACCUAUAAUCGUUUUAAUCGAUGGGGGGACGCAGUAGGAUAGGCGAAGCGUGCGAUUGGAUUGCACGUCUAAGCAGUAAGGCUGAGUAUUAGG
RNAcentral lists this ribosomal RNA (1202 nucleotides) under Staphylococcus aureus. RNAcentral describes it as "partial 23S ribosomal RNA". It matches the Rfam family "Bacterial large subunit ribosomal RNA", at positions 328 to 1536 of the family's 2925-position model. Lineage: Bacteria; Bacillati; Bacillota; Bacilli; Caryophanales; Staphylococcaceae. The record is from RNAcentral.